This 609-nucleotide ribosomal RNA is filed under the name uncultured bacterium. RNAcentral describes it as "bacterial SSU rRNA". It matches the Rfam family "Bacterial small subunit ribosomal RNA", at positions 78 to 681 of the family's 1533-position model. The record is from RNAcentral.
GCUUGCUCUCUGGGUGACGAGCGGCGGACGGGUGAGUAAUGUCUGGGAAACUGCCUGAUGGAGGGGGAUAACUACUGGAAACGGUAGCUAAUACCGCAUGACCUCGCAAGAGCAAAGUGGGGGACCUUCGGGCCUCACGCCAUCGGAUGUGCCCAGAUGGGAUUAGCUAGUAGGUGGGGUAAUGGCUCACCUAGGCGACGAUCCCUAGCUGGUCUGAGAGGAUGACCAGCCACACUGGAACUGAGACACGGUCCAGACUCCUACGGGAGGCAGCAGUGGGGAAUAUUGCACAAUGGGCGCAAGCCUGAUGCAGCCAUGCCGCGUGUGUGAAGAAGGCCUUAGGGUUGUAAAGCACUUUCAGCGAGGAGGAAGGGUUCAGUGUUAAUAGCACUGAGCAUUGACGUUACUCGCAGAAGAAGCACCGGCUAACUCCGUGCCAGCAGCCGCGGUAAUACGGAGGGUGCAAGUGUUAAUCGGAAUUACUGGGCGUAAAGCGCACGCAGGCGGUUUGUUAAGUCAGAUGUGAAAUCCCCGAGCUUAACUGGGAACUGCAUUUGAAACUGGCAAGCUAGAGUCUUGUAGAGGGGGGUAGAAUUCCAGGUGUAGCGG